GCUCCAGUCUCCAAACUGCGGCUUCUGAUACCGCGCUUUUCUGCGCAGGAGCAAUCUUGGGGCAAACGGGCCAGCCGGGGCUGCGCGCCAAGGAACAGGCGGACAUUCAACGGGCGAAGGCUCCUCCUCGGUGUUCGUUAGCACCGAGUCCCAACUUUCUCUUAAUUUCUGUGUGGGUGACGGUUUGGUGCAUAAAGUGGGCCGGCUGGAGCUCUUUGCCGCACAGCAGGCAGAAGUUCAACAGGGGUCAGCAGGAUCGUCCUGCAAUGGGGACAACUGUGUCUGUUGGAUGUGUGCGUGUCUCGAACAAAAGCAUUCCGCUGCCUCACGGUCCCAGACACUUAAGGCACAAAACUUUAAACCUCACUGGGAAACACCUUGCGGUUUGAAUAGUUCCAUCAGUGAGUCAACAGAACCGAGUGGAAGAACUUCCUGCUGGCUCAGAACAAAGAUCCCUCCAGUGCAGCCAGAACACGGGGGGCAGCACAUGUCUCCGUAGGAUCCCCUCACCGGAUGCUUGGAGUUUACCAGCCUCAUGCCUGUGGGGUCCAUUCAACGUA
This is a long non-coding RNA of Varanus komodoensis (Komodo dragon), 560 nucleotides long. RefSeq lists it as uncharacterized. The record is from RefSeq and is a predicted model, not a curated record. The transcript has 3 exons. Lineage: Eukaryota; Metazoa; Chordata; Lepidosauria; Squamata; Varanidae.